UACGGAGGGUGCGAGCGUUGUCCGGAAUUACUGGGCGUAAAGAGCUCGUAGGUGGUUUGUCGCGUUGUCCGUGAAAACUCACAACUCAAUUGUGGGCGUGCGGGCGAUACGGGCAGACUGGAGUACUGCAGGGGAGACUGGAAUUCCUGGUGUAGCGGUGGAAUGCGCAGAUAUCAGGAGGAACACCGGUGGCGAAGGCGGGUCUCUGGGCAGUAACUGACGCUGAGGAGCGAAAGCGUGGGGAGCGAACAGG
RNAcentral lists this ribosomal RNA (253 nucleotides) under uncultured bacterium. RNAcentral describes it as "partial 16S ribosomal RNA". It matches the Rfam family "Bacterial small subunit ribosomal RNA", at positions 524 to 776 of the family's 1533-position model. The record is from RNAcentral.